This is a long non-coding RNA of Grus americana (Whooping crane), 3756 nucleotides long. RefSeq lists it as uncharacterized. The record is from RefSeq and is a predicted model, not a curated record. NCBI's taxonomy places the organism in Eukaryota, Metazoa, Chordata, Aves, Gruiformes, Gruidae. The transcript has 2 exons.
CUGAGCCGCACCGCCUCCUCCUCGUCCUCCAGGAAGGCGAGCGCCCGGCCCAGGCGGGAGGUCUUGCCGCCGCGGUGCCUGCGGAUCCAGAAGAGCCCGCACAGGGCGAUGAGGACCCAGCUGAAGCUCAGCCCCAGGCCUGCCCUAGGGAGCACGGGUUCGCCCCGCACGACGGCAUCCGGGCCAGGAGGAGAUCGUGGCCGCCGAGCUCUCCUCACUGUCGCCGGGACCCCCGUCGCCUCGGAACCCCGGCCCAGCUUCGCCUGGGGGCAGCCAGCCCAACCGCCCGCAACGGCCAUCGGCCACCGCUGCUUGGCCUCGCAGGAGCAAGGAGGCAGCGUGCCGCGGGAAGAGGGUGGUAACAAGGAAACGGGCUGCUGCCAAGGCGUUAGGGACCGCCACCCUGCUGGCGUGUGCUUCCUCACGGGCAAACCACAUCAUCUCCCCACUCUCUGCACUCACCUGUGCGCCUGAGUGCUUUCUACCUGUGACAUCCUUCAGUAACAAGCUUCGUAUUUGUCUUUGUUCUCUACUGAGGGAUAUUUUUAAAGGACCAACCCAUCAGUGGCUCAGAGGACCCAGAGGCAGGUCACUCCACUCCUUGGUUACAACAGGUGUUCCUAAGGCUUUGCUCACGCAUCCUCAAGCAAAGGUGACUCUCUGUCAUCUCGUUAAUAUAGAGGAUACCUCGGGUGGCACCCAGAUCCAGGCUCUUGGGGAUUACACAACCCUGAUCUGUGGAACAGGCUUGUGCCCUGUAUCCCUUUAUCAUGGUAACACCUGGUUCCCACAUCAUUCCUCCUACCAUUCCUUUAUCUUUUCAAUAAUUGUUAUGUAACCACCAGUUUUGAAAGAGGCAGCUGUUGCCUGUUGUUAGCUGUGUGCUAAUCAGUUUGCUGGUACGCACUUGCUGAUUAAACUCAGCAUUUACCAGGAGGUUUUUUUCUUUUUGGCUUUAAAUAGCCAACCUUUCACUUAGUGGGAACAAGGGUCCUUUCUCCUCUCUUCAGCUGCCAAUCUUCACAAAAUUUUUAGGACACUGAGGCUAGUAUUUGCAGGCAGGGAAGAGGGGAGAACAAAUUUAGCCAAUAGACUGAGAAGUUACAAAAACACGUACAAACAGACAAAUAGGAAAGCUGAAUAAACUUCAUUUUCUCAAGAAACCAGUUUCUGGCCAUAGACUCAUGUUGCUCUUCACCACUGACAGUGUGUUCUCCACCUGUAUUAUCAGGUUAGUCAGGAUGAAAAUUCAGAAUGACCAAAUGAUAUAAAAAAGGAGUAGCAAAAUCAAUGAUUUACAACUAUAUGGUAAUCCAAGCUUUGAAACGACAAUUUACUUACUUUGGAUCUUUACCUCUAGAGAACUCAGAACACCUACAGGCUGUAACAGCAAGGGGACUGCAGAGCAGCGUAAGACCCUAUAAAAGCUUGUGACCUUAAACUGGGGGUAUCGAGAAUGACUCUGUGACCCCUUUGGAUACCAGUAAUGUCAAACUACAGUAAAUGUGGGUGGGUUUUUGCAUUUAUUGUAUUCCUCUUCUAAUUACUUAGUUUGCUUAUAUAGACUUUCCUGUAAACUCCUCACUCCUGAAUUUCAGUUAACACCUAGUACACAUGCCCAUAUUGUAUGUUGGCUCCCUCCAUUACAACCAAUAUGAAUAUUUUCUCAUUUUUUCAAGCCCUUUGUUCUCAGUCUUGGACUCCAUUGCUCCAUUUUCCUUCCCUAGCUGGCUUCACAGUAUCUGAUGCAGAAUGCAACUAUACCACAAACCAAAAUGAAAAUUAAAAAUGAGAAAAAAGAAGUGAUUGAAUUAAAUGACAUUUGCCAACUAGCACUUUACCAUAUGCUGCGUCUUACUCUGCUCUAUGUCUCGGUGUGUAUUCUGCAAGUGCGCUGGAUAUAGAAUUUGUAGAGGAGUACCCUGUAUUAAUACUGACUGUAUUAAAUGUAAAAAAAUAAUCUCAUAGUAGCAUUUAGGAUGACAAACACAUAAUUGUAGGCCUGACAGUCUAGCAUUGAUCCUGGGUGGAGUAAUUAAUUAGUUGCCAUGGAAGUUUGAUUGAUCAGAACUAAAGGUGGAUGAUACUGCACCAAUCAAAUAGACAAACAGAAACAAGAUAUUCUAGCAUUAAUUUGAUAGCAUUUAUCUGUAACAUUAAUAGAAAGCUCUGAUAAAGAGGUUACCACUGACUUCUUAGAACUUCUGUAGAUAACUGCCUUGGUCCCGCGCAGUAUUUUGCUGAAGAAACCGGGUGGUAUGAAAUUAGCAUGCCACUGUUACAAUAGGACAAAAGAGUCUUGUUAAAAUCAAGAUAUAAACUCAGCUGCUAGGGGAUAAACUAGAGUCAGUUACUAUUAUAAAGUUUUUGAUAAAAUGUUCUGCAUAAACACAAGUUCUUUAUUCUAAUCUUUUUGGUGCUGAUAAAUCAUUUAAUAAUUUUCCCCAGAGUCUUGGAAUUGUUAAUUCACGUAUUUCCUGAUCCUAUUUUUUAACACUUAUGAAAGCAGUCUUCAAUGUAUGAGGAAUUCUUGAAGAUAGUCACGUAUAGCACAGAGAUUACACUGGCUUUUCAUCAAGUAUCCUAUAGUGAAUUCUAUCAACUACAGACAUGAUUAUCUUUAUCUUAUUUAGACAAUACUUAUUCUUUUCAUAUCCUGCUUUGGAAGUCUGUUGCAUUCUUAGAAUUUUAAUACUUUUUGCUUGCAGUAUUCCUUUAUACCCAUUCUUAGCCGUAUGUGUUUGUUCCUCCUUUUACUGGAUUACUUUUUUGCUUUUUCAAACUCAAUAGCUUGCAUCAGAGUCGAAGUGGUGUCAUCCUAUGUUUAUCUUUACCUCGCAUCGCAUCAGUUUGCCAUGAUGCUUUCUUUCCACUACAUACAAAACUAUUCUUCAGAAUAACUUCCCAAAACAUCUUUUUUAUACAUCUGGGUUCUUGAGGAUGAGAAAAAUUGGCAAAAUGAAGUUUAUAUGGUGAAAAAGAAAAUCUAAAUUUCCCCGACUUCUUUGGAUUUCACACAAGAAAAAAUGUUUUAGAAGCAAUUUUAAUUGUUGUUUCUUGACCAUUUUCAGUAGCAGUUAAUCUUCCUGAAGAACAAUUUGAUAUUAUACCUUAUUUUACCCAACAGCAUUCCUUCAGUCUGAUAUUUCUUUCUACAGGUUUUUAACUAUUGAAUAGAAAUCUUUAUUGAAUAGAAAUCUGAGAAUGCUUACUCAGGAGGUUUUUCCUAAACAUUUUGGAAUAAUUAAUGGAAACAGUUUACAUGAAGUUUCAUCCUAGUAAAUUCUUAUGAUGGAAUACUCACUACUUCUGUGUUUGAUUUUAUCCAGCUGUCUCAACCUGCUUCAGACGAUCUACUAUAUAGCACAAAUAUUUUCUGCCUGCGUCUAACUAUCUGAUAUAUAGCACAAAGAAGAGUCAGAAGAUUCUACUAUACCUGUUCAGUGCAGAGAGUUUCUGUUGUUUGGAACAAAACCAAAUGUGUCUGAUCCCUGCUAUCACCCAAUCUGGCUUCAGUUUCACUGAAUGCAUAAAUGGUACUCUCAUGAUAAGAUCCUCAAAUAUUUAUUGUUCCUGAAGACAUAAAUACUCUUCACUAAAAUGUGUUUCUUAGUAAGUUUUCACAAUAAUCAUCAUCUCCUUUUUUUUCCCUCAUGGGAUUCUUACAAGUUAUAGUUGAAAACUAAAGGCACAAAGUUUACUUGAGAGAUCCACGUUUUUGCUGUUGCCAUUUAUGAACCCAGAGGACUGACUACC